ACGGGAGGCAGCAGUAAGGAAUCUUGCACAAUGGGGGAAACCCUGAUGCAGCAACGCCGCGUGAACGAUGAAGGCCUUCGGGUUGUAAAGUUCUGAUCUUGGGGAAGAAACAAAUGACGGUACCCAAGGAGAAAGCCCCGGCUAACUACGUGCCAGCAGCCGCGGUAAUACGUAGGGGGCAAGCGUUAUCCGGAAUUAUUGGGCGUAAAGAGUGCGUAGGUGGUUACCUAAGCGCAAGGUUUAAUCUUGGGGCUCAACCCCAUUUUGCCUUGCGAACUGGGCUACUUGAGUGCAGGAGGGGAAAGCGGAAUUCCUAGUGUAGCGGUGAAAUGCGUAGAUAUUAGGAAGAACACCGGUGGCGAAGGCGGCUUUCUGGACUGUAACUGACACUGAGGCACGAAAGCGUGGGGAGCAAACAGGAUUAGAUACCCUGGUA
RNAcentral lists this ribosomal RNA (436 nucleotides) under uncultured Mogibacterium sp. Its description in RNAcentral is "partial 16S ribosomal RNA". It matches the Rfam family "Bacterial small subunit ribosomal RNA", at positions 341 to 792 of the family's 1533-position model. Lineage: Bacteria; Bacillati; Bacillota; Clostridia; Peptostreptococcales; Anaerovoracaceae. The record is from RNAcentral.